RNAcentral lists this ribosomal RNA (250 nucleotides) under uncultured bacterium. RNAcentral's name for it is "partial 16S ribosomal RNA". It matches the Rfam family "Bacterial small subunit ribosomal RNA", at positions 524 to 773 of the family's 1533-position model. The record is from RNAcentral. RNAcentral also lists the same sequence under 1 other name.
UACGUAGGGGUCGAGCGUUGUCCGGAGUUACUGGGCGUAAAGCGCAUGCAGGCGGCUCAUUACGCAUGGCGUGAAAGCCCCCGGCUUAACCGGGGAGGGUCGUCGUGAACGGGUGAGCUUGAGGAUAUCAGGGGCUGGUGGAAUUCCCGGUGUAGUGGUGAAAUGCGUAGAGAUCGGGAGGAACACCUGUGGCGAAGGCGGCCAGCUGGGAUAUACCUGACGCUGAGAUGCGAAGGCGUGGGGAGCGAAC